GCUUUCAGAGGGAAUUAAGUAUUGGAUAUCCCAAGAAAAUAAUGAGCUACCAAAAGGUGGGCUAAUAUUGCUGGAGACUGGGGUCUCUUAAAAAAACAAAAAAACCAACUUCCUCAUUUAGAAUUCCGCACAGGGUUCACCCUCUAGGGAAACCACAACCUCCCUAACAACACCUCCCUAACUAUACCUCUCUGGUUUAGCUGCUCAUGUCUUGAGCUUCCUGUUACAAUCCACCACACACUUGAAUUCUUUCCAGGUAGCUGACAAUACCCAGGUAACCCCUCGAAGGCUGGGGCUUGCUCUGUCAUCUGUUUGACUUCAGUACUCCUGGUCCUGAUACCCACCACGAGAGUUCCGGUACUGACCCCGACCAUCAAUCUCUAGACUGGAGGCUGUACAGAAACAUGCCCUGAGUCUCUUCCACAGCUCUUGCCACCCUGUGGCUGGGAGUGGGGGAGUCUGGCUACCCAGGAUCCAGCUAAUGUCCACGGUAGAAUGUACUAGCAUUCUUACAUGGAAGGCUGUAUAACACAAGUAGAAGCAAGGUCAAUUCUGCUGGCUAUAAGGUCUAAGGGAGUAGAUUCAUCAUACGCCUUGCUGAAUGACAUUCUCAUCAGCCAUGGGGCUUAUCUGAGGCCCUACCCUUCCUGCUGCCUCUCCGACUGUGAUAAUCAUCACUUGGAGUCCUGCGUUCGCUUCCGGUUGUCUUAAGCCAUUCCCCCUGGAAUGAGUCUGAAGCCAGUCUUCUGUGAGUGAUACCUCGAAAGGCUGAUCCCCAGAGACCAGCAUCUGUGAAAGAGGGCUAAGCCAAGAUGACUUGCCUGAAUCUGUUGCCAACCGGAUCAAUCCUGACCCCUCAGAAUAUUGAUGCCCAAAUAUUGGCCCCACCUUGAAGCAAAGAAUCAACUAUCUGUACCCUUGAACCAGAGUCAUGAACCACAUCGGAGAGGAGAGAUAAAGGCAAAAAGCAUAGCUUCCUAACUGAGGCAGACCUUAUUUGGUCAACAUCAAGUCUUGAGGAUUAGAAGGGGAGAAAGACUGGGGCCAGUCAGAUGGCUCUGUGGGUAAAGGCACUUGCUACCAAGCCUCAGAACCCAUAUGGUGGAAGGGGAGAACUGACUCCUGAAAGUUGUGCUCUGACCUGCAUGAA
Molecule: long non-coding RNA, 1150 nt
Organism: Mus musculus (house mouse)
Lineage: Eukaryota; Metazoa; Chordata; Mammalia; Rodentia; Muridae
Product: predicted gene, 31453
Exons: 3
Source: RefSeq, a predicted model, not a curated record